AUUGAACGCUGGCGGCAGGCCUAACACAUGCAAGUCGAACGGUAACAGGAAGACGCUUGCUUCUUUGCUGACGAGUGGCGGACGGGUGAGUAAUGUCUGGGAAACUGCCCGAUGGAGGGGGAUAACUACUGGAAACGGUAGCUAAUACCGCAUAACGUCGCAAGACCAAGGAGGGGGACCUUCGGGCCUCUUGCCAUCGGAUGUGCCCAGAUGGGAUUAGCUAGUAGGUGGGGUAACGGCUCACCUAGGCGACGAUCCCUAGCUGGUCUGAGAGGAUGACCAGCCACACUGGAACUGAGACACGGUCCAGACUCCUACGGGAGGCAGCAGUGGGGAAUAUUGCACAAUGGGCGCAAGCCUGAUGCAGCCAUGCCGCGUGUAUGAAGAAGGCCUUCGGGUUGUAAAGUACUUUCAGCGGGGAGGAAGGGAGUAAAGUUAAUACCUUUGCUCAUUGACGUUACCCGCAGAAGAAGCACCGGCUAACUCCGUG
This 490-nucleotide ribosomal RNA is filed under the name uncultured bacterium. RNAcentral describes it as "partial 16S ribosomal RNA". It matches the Rfam family "Bacterial small subunit ribosomal RNA", at positions 30 to 507 of the family's 1533-position model. The record is from RNAcentral.